This 446-nucleotide ribosomal RNA is filed under the name Bombina orientalis. RNAcentral describes it as "partial 12S ribosomal RNA". It matches the Rfam family "Bacterial small subunit ribosomal RNA", at positions 753 to 1415 of the family's 1533-position model. The record is from RNAcentral. Lineage: Eukaryota; Metazoa; Chordata; Amphibia; Anura; Bombinatoridae.
UAAAAAGCUUCAAACUGGGAUUAGAUACCCCACUAUGCCUAGCCUCAAACUAUGACUCAAUACAAAACACCAUCCGCCCGGGAACUACGAGCCCCAGCUUAAAACCCAAAGGACUUGGCGGUGCCCCACCCACCUAGAGGAGCCUGUUCUAUAAUCGAUAACCCCCGCUUAACCUCACCACUUCUUGCCAAUACCGCCUAUAUACCACCGUCGCCAGCCCACCCCGUGAGGGAAAUAGUAGGCACAAUGAUAAGUCACCAAAACGUCAGGUCAAGGUGUAGCGUAUGAAGUGGAAAGAAAUGGGCUACAUUCUCUAACCUAGAGCACACGAAAAAUCAUAUGAAAUUAGAUCAGAAGGAGGAUUUAGUAGUAAAAAGAAACAAUAGUGUUCUUUUUAAGUUGGCCCUGGGGCGCGCACACACCGCCCGUCACCCUCUGCAGUCAAA